This 264-nucleotide unclassified non-coding RNA is filed under the name uncultured fungus. RNAcentral's name for it is "partial contains small subunit ribosomal RNA, internal transcribed spacer 1, and 5.8S ribosomal RNA". The stretch from base 1 to 73 matches the Rfam family "Eukaryotic small subunit ribosomal RNA", at positions 1759 to 1831 of the family's 1831-position model. The record is from RNAcentral. Lineage: Eukaryota; Fungi.
GCAAACUUGGUCAUUUAGAGGAAGUAAAAGUCGUAACAAGGUCUCCGUUGGUGAACCAGCGGAGGGAUCAUUACCGAGUUUACAACUCCCAAACCCCUGUGAACCAUACCAUAUCGUUGCCUCGGCGGCGCCCUCUCGGGGGACCGCCAGAGGACCCAAACUCUUGCUUUUAUACAAGUUUGUUCUGAGUGUUGCUGCAAGCAAAAAUAAAUCAAAACUUUCAACAAUGGAUCUCUUGGCUCUGGCAUCGAUGAAGAACGCAGC